Non-coding RNA from Rattus norvegicus (Norway rat), 16213 nucleotides. The record is from RefSeq and is a predicted model, not a curated record. NCBI's taxonomy places the organism in Eukaryota, Metazoa, Chordata, Mammalia, Rodentia, Muridae.
CCUGACCUUUCCUUGUCCUGAUUUUCAGACAUGUUGCCGUAUUUUCAAGCAGUGUGCAGACCUCUGUUACUAACCACACAUUCAAACCCAGCGAAGGCGAGUGUGAAGCUCAGGGAUCCAGAAGUGCUGUUCUUCCCGUCAUGGCUGUUGCAGCAGAGCCAGCAUAUUAACUUACCUUUCGGUACUCACUAAUGUACCAGCUGCUUUGUGGGAGUUUCCAGUCACGGCGUAGAGGACACUGCACAGCUCAGUAGCCAUGGCUCUCUACGGUUUAGAACAUGUCUGCUCAACUAACAUCUAUCUUCCAGUGGAAAAGACAGUGGGCUCCACAGACUGAACAAAUGAAGACAUACCAUUAAUACAUUUCUGCUGCGUUCACACUGACACGACUAUACUGGACAUGGAUUGGACUUGGUGAAUUAUAUCGUUAAAACAUUUUCCUUUUUAAAAAUAUUAAGUUAAUAGGAUGGUUAAUUUCUUAUUGAAACAAUAGUUUUUAUAUAUUUUGAUCAUACUUUUCCCUUCUCCAAUCCUACCUCCUUCCCAGAUCUUCUCCUAUUUUAUUUUAUCAUUUUAUCUUUUAAGGCAGGCUCUUAGUGUAUAGAUCUGUUUGGCCUGGAACUUACUAUGUAGAUCAGGCUAGCCUCAAACUCAAUGGGAAUUCACCUGUCUUUGCCUCCUGAGUUCUGGGAUUAAAGGCUUGCCCUUCCACACCCAGACCUAAAAUUGCUUUGAUUCUUAUUAUUUUUUCCUGCACAUAAGUAGCACGGCUCACACUGGCUUGCCAAGGCCAGCAUCGUGUUUUCUACUGACACGUUGUUAAUGCAUAGAAGGCAUUCCUACAGGAGCUGUGAACUGGGGGAGAUGUUCACAGAAUCCCACCUAAUUAUGAAAGAGUUAAUGAUGUAUACUAGGAGGAGGGAGCUGCUGUGUUGUUUGAAAGAUGUGAAUCUAGGCAGAAAAUGUACCCAGGGUUUGAAGCUGGGGAGGACCUUGAAGGACAGAAAGGGACAGCAUUGGAUGGGUGGGUGCUGACUGGCUUCUCUGUUUCUGAGGGAGGCUGGGAGGCUGUGGGAAAGGUAUAGAAGGCCUUCUCAUGGGAACUAGGUGGCAGCUCUGGUGUCCUCAAGCCGCUAGGUCCAGCACUGAGGCUCGCUCCUUUCCUGUCUUGCGGAUCCUUUCUGAGGAAGAGACAGCUUUCCUGCAGAUCGUCUGUUGGGCCUGUGUGACCAGCAGGAACCCUUGUGACUUUUUUUCUCCCAGAACACUUAUCUGUUAUCUGCUUGUGGUGUGGGGGAAGGGCCUUCUGCAUUCGGGAUUGGCCCACUGCCUUUACUUAGAUGACAGGACUCUAGGGAAAUGCUUUAAAUAUAACACAUUCCCAGUUAUAGAAAUCUAUGCCCAAAAGUGGCCACAUGGACAGUACUUGGUGGCUGGAGAAAGAGAGAGCAGGCCGACGCUGUCUCUGAAUGUAAAGAGCCACUCUCCGGGCGGGCAUGCACGCCCUCUCGUUCUCCUUGUAGAUCUCCACAUGUGACCACUGUCAGUCUACUCUGCCGUAUUAUCAGCUGAAGCCAGAUGUCCUUUAGAAAAGGCUGUUACUAGCCGAGGCCUCCACGCUGAUGUUAGGAGCUGGCCUUUCUUAGGUCAUAACUGUAGAAGGUGCUAGACUCUGUGUCUGUGAAUUGAGUGUACGGGUGAGAAGCAUAAAGGUGGUCCAGAGACUCAGUGUAAGGCAGGCGGAUUUGAUUGUCUGCAGAAGCCGACACUUAGCGAAUGGCUUUGCUCUUACGCCCAGCCCCGUUCUAAGCACCUGAACUCUGUUAACCUAUUUAGGCCUCGUGACAGUCCUGCGAUGCUGAUGGCGAUGCUGAUGGUGUGGACCAAAAAACAAGUGACUUAGUUUUCUCUUUUUACCUUUAGUUCUAGGGUUCAAACUUGGGCUGCCAGGUUCCAUAGCAAGCACCUUUUCCUGAUGAGCCACACCCCACCAGCCCCGUUUUCCGACUUGUUUCUAGUUAGUCCACAGCAUUCAGAUAUCAAAGUUUGCCCCUGGAGGCUCAUUCUGUGGCUUGAUGUUCACCCAUUAAAAUUAAGGUCCCAUCUGCCCCCAUCCCCACCUGCUGUUUAAGGGACCUGAGGUAGGUCAAUAUUUAGACAUCGAUGCCAUUUAGCAAAACAGCAAUCUUCAAUGUAAUUUCCCUUCUCCCUUUCACUUAAGGAGAAAGAUUAAUUAUGUUUCUGUGAUGCUAAAUUAAGACGUGGGAAUGUGAAAGCCAGAUGCUCCAGAACUGCAGUGGCAAACCUGUUGGGCUCCAGUGGUCUAGAGUCUCUGGUGGAAGAGGGUGGUGUGAGCACAUUAGCUGAAACUUGUUUCUCAAAUAAGCUAGCUCUCUGCUGGGCGUGUGGUGGGGUGGGGUGGGGCAUGGUGUGGGGGCUGCUCCACUCUAGCUGCCAGCUGAUUUCGGGGACCUUGGAGCACCUAGACGCUUUCAUCGAGGUCAAGAUGAAAGGAGACCCAGAUAAGGUUGCCAGGGAAACAAAAAAUGCUACCGGAUCUCUCCCCGUUUGAGCUUAUAAAUGUGGCCUGAGGUUUGGGCAGCCUUUUUAAUGCAAAUGUUGGGAUGUGAAAAUGAGCAGUGCUCUUGUGCCAGGUCUUAAGGAAAUGGCUGUGGGCUUAAUGUAACGCCAGCUGCAGGCCUAAGGGUGGUGUAUUCUGUCCUUUGUAUGUGCAGAGCCCCCUGACAGAAGGGUUUCUUGGAGGUGGACUGGAGAGCGGCUGCUACCUCUCUGCCUGCGUCUCCACUUCCUGCUCAUCCCACAAACAUCUCUUCUGCAGUACUGGAAACUGAGCCCGGGACUCACACAUGCCAGGCUCUACCUGAGCCUCCCCUCCCCCUUCUUUUGGAACUUGACCUUGCUAAGUUGAUCUGGGCCCAGGUUGGUCUUGAGCUUGCUUCUCCUCUUGCCUCAGCCUUUCCAGUAGCACCACUGGGUCUAGCCAUGCUUGUCAGUUAUGACCUGUUCUCUGAUUUCAAAGUUAAACAGAUCUGCCAUUACAAAUUCCCAAAGACACAAAACAAUUACUCUUGUGUUGUUUAAAAAAACAGUUCAUUUUCCUGUAGUUUUCACUAUCUGGAACCAUGACUUGGAUUUCCCCCUAUAUUUAUAUACAAACAUGUACACAGCUAAAUUUAGUUGCAUGAGUUCAUACUAUUUUAAGAAUAGCCACCUGAUUCUCACAGUUAAGGGUAAAAAUUGUAGCCUUUACGUUUUUAGUUUUUUUUUUUUUUUUAAAACAUGGCUAUGUGAAAGUUGGCCAGGCUGGCCUUGAACUUACAGCCUUCCGGUCUCAGCCUCUGGAGAGGUGGAAUUUUAAAUGAUUGGGCUGUGAAUAGUUUUCUGUGGCUGACUUCCAGGAAUGUGAUGAUUGCUCAGCCGCUCUCCACUCUUGGCUAUUGCUUCUUUUUAGGGCACAGUAGUAUUCCUCCUGGGCAGGAUCAAUUCCUCAGGUGGCAUUUAAGUAGGAGACGCAGCACUUUAAGGGCUGUAGCUCCCUAGGGCCAGAUACCCUCCUACCAAGAGGAGGGGGUGUCUCAUCAACACUAGGUGUUAAACUUUUUCUUUUCACUCUGCCAUAUUUAUAACUCAAAAGUAUGUCCCCUCCUUCUCCCUCCCACCCCAGUAGAGAAGAUUAGCAAGAGCAGCUCCUGUGGUUGAAGAGUUACCGUCUGUAGGAUAUAUAAAUCUCCUAAAUAUCUCUCGGCCUCACUGAAACUGGAUCCUGUGCUCCCAUUCACCAGAUGAAGAAACAGAGGCUUUGAGGAAGUAAAGUCAUGAUUGACUAUUUUCAUACGGUUUUUAAAGAACACCCAAGACCCUAAGAUUGGGAGGAUCACUAGUUUAAGGCCAGCCUUGGCUACAUAGGCUAACCCAGGCUUCAUGUCUCUUUGUCUCAAACAAACAAACAAACAAACAAACAAACAAAUCUGGAUAGAAAUGAGGCUAUCUUAAGUGAUGCAUGGUUUCAAAUGGUAGGGACAGAGGGUUUGUCACCAGCUGGUGGCUUAACCAUUUGAAGGUUGGUUGGACUGAAUGUGCACUUUUGGAAGGAAGAUGGGAAUUGUGACCAAACUGGGUUGUCUGGCUACUCUGUUUAAGAAGAUGGCUUCUCUAUGUGGAAUAUCCUCUGCUCCUUUAGACCUGGGUGCAUCUUCUUAGCACGUCUUGGCUUUUCAGGAGUGAAAGCUGUGUCUGCAAAUGUGCCAGGAGAAACCAAAUGUGCUCACGUGCACCCGGCUCCAGGUGUGCCUUCUGGCCUACUCAGCCCUGUCACCUCCACACAGGCAUGCAUUCUGAACCCGCCUCAGUUCAACACUUGCGCUUGCCAGACUGCAGUGGCUUUCCUCUUACCUCUCUGUGACUUGUUUAUUGAAAACUGAAGGUAAAGAUCUUAUCUUCCCGCUGGAUUUAGUUCCCAGUUUUCUGUGUAUCCUAAGAAAGAAUGCACACUUGCAUCCUCAUUUUCAGGGACUACAGGAAGGAGGAGGGGGAAGGAUUUCCCUACCAAGGAGCCAGUAGUUUUGUUUAAAGCCUGAGCUGGUGCUUGCUAAGUUCUCUGCUUGUUUCCCUUUUUUGUGUUCAUUUUGGUCUCUCUGGGCUCCUUGGCGUAACUAGAGUUCAUUCAUCUUUGGGGGAGGAAAACGCACUAAGAAUUCUCGACUCAUUUUUGGAGGCCAUUUGAGCCAAAUAAGUUACUUGACUGAAGGAUUCAUUUCUGCUACAUCAUUAGUCUUUCUGUCGAUCUAAAAAAAAUCCAUCCAUUCAUCCAUCUAGACCUAUCAACACGCAGAAAGCUCAGGUAAUGGAAACCCGGUGUGGUCCUGGUGGGGACAGAGUGACAUAGUUCCUGCCUUUGGGGCAGCUUCCUUCCUACCCCCAACCCCCUGCCAUGGGAGCCUCCGAGAGUGUUGAGAGUGUUGAUGGCUGCUGUGGGUGUAAGGCUUCUUUGUGUAAUAAUGUACACAUUUUCACAUUCCUCCAAGGAAUGUCCUUAUUAACAUCAAUGACUCCACGAGAAUUAAAGACAGCAGGAGUCAGGAGGCAAAGGUGUGACCAGUGUCUCAGCAAAACGGUAAAUGCUGGGACCCCCCAGGACAGCCCUUAAGGCUGUGGGAAAGAGCUCUAAAUACAUGAGUUCAAAAUAUAUAUAAUUUCUCAACCAUGCAAAAUGACUUCCUGUCCAUUGAAUGGGCUCCAUGUGUGAAGACCUGGGCCGUGUACUUUCUGUACAUUUUAAUCUGAUUCUUGGGCCAUUUUACCUUACUAUUGUUGUCAAAAGAAUCAGGAUCUUGGGACUUGAGAGGGCUGUGGUGAUUUCAGUGGUAUUCGUUGUUUCUCAGUCCUUUUGUCCUGCUUGCUUUCUGGUGGACAAACCUGCUCCUUUCCCAGAAGGCUUACAGGUGGGGAGGUGGGAGGAGGGUGAAUUACUCUCAAUUGCUCUACUGGGGCUGCUGACCAAAGUAACUGCCCCUGUCAGGUAGAGAGGUCUGCUUGAGCCAUAAAGGGGCUCUCUGUCUCCACCCUCUGCUAGGUCUGCUACCACAGGUGAAUUCUGCUGCCUACUGGUCAGCUGUAGUCCUUCUCAGCUUGUUUCAAUGGAUGAACUUCCUUGGGUGAUUAUGUUCUAUGAAACACUGCAUGAAGCGGUAGGAGGCACUGAAUGUCAAGUGAUGUUUUCUGAAAGCUCAAUUACAGUUUAUAGAGACUUGAAAACAGCAUGUUCUAAAAAGCCAGUUGCUUUAGGUGUGGCCGAGGCUUGGUAUAAACAACUGGGGAGCUGGUGGAUCACCACCUGGAGAGAGCCUCCCAGAAGGAACUGGACAUUGACCUUGUGGGGUGGGGUUUCACCCAGAAAGAUCCCAGAGCUUAAGUCGAAGACCCAAAUUCAAGAGAAGGUUUUGCACCAUAGUUUACAUGUCUUCGAGUUGAAUGGUUGUGCUAAGGUUAACUGUCAAAGAUUUUUAAUUUAAAAUGAAUUGUUUAAGGUGCAUAGAUAACAUUUUGAGUCCUUCUGGGUUUGGGUUGAAAUCACACACCGGACGGGUGGUUUUCUGUUGAGCUAGAAGGGAGCCAGUCUCAACUCAGCUGUUGAAUGGGGGUGGUUGGGUGGGGUGGUGACUAAGAAUCAGCUUAUGAUCAAGGAAGCUGGGGUUCCGUGUGCCUGCCCUUGAGCUGCCUCCCAGCUGUGAGGCCCAAGUGAGAAUGAAGUGUGUGCAGCAGCCAUGGGUGAACCAGUGCACGCAAAUGUCAGCACAGCUCCAUGGAGUAAACUAGUGGACUCAAAUGGACUUAAAACCAAACAACCACAAUUCAGCCUAAGAUGGUUCAGCUGUUACAAGCAUUGACUGCUCUUGCAGAGGAUUCUGGUUUAAUUCUAGCACUCACAUAGUGGCUAACUAACAAUCAUCUGUAAUCCAGACUCAGGGGACCUGACACCCCCUUCUAGCCUCUGCAGGCACUGCACAGUCAUACAUGUGUGCAAAAGACCCACAUGCAUUGAAUAAAAAUCUCAAAAAAAAGAAAAACCAAUUAAAAAUUCACAUUUGCAUUGCGUGCCAGGGCACCUGUGUAGCAGGCACACGGUCAGGUGUUCGUGUGGGUGAGGAGACCAAAAGUCAGUCUUAGGUACCUCAGGAAUAGUUCACCUUGCUUUCUGGGAGACAUUUCUCUUAGACCUGGGGUUCACCAGGUCAGCUAGGCUGACCAGCCAGGGAUCCUCCUGGUGUUGCUUUCCAGCACUGAUGACACAAGCACAUGCCUGACUUUUAAAAACUGUGCGUGUUGGGGAUCAAACUUGGGUCCUUAUGCUUGUGUGGCAAGCACUGAAUCAUCUCCCCAGGACAGAAGGCACCCGGUUAUGAAGUUGGAUGCUCAAUAAAUGCCAGCCAGUUGUCCUUGCCUUAUUAUGUUGGUCUGUUGUUACAUUGUUUUGUUUUAAGAUUUGUUUAUUUCAUUUACAUGAGUGCACUGUAUUACUGUCUUCAGACACACCAGAAGAGGGCAUUGGAUCUCAUUACAGAUGGUUGUGAGCCACCAUGUGGUUGCUGGGAAUUGAACUCAGGACCUCUGGAAGAGCACUCAGUGCUCUUAACCGCUGGGCCAUCUCUCCAUCCCCUGUUACAUUAAAAAACCAUUAGGUGUUUUCAUUUUGGGGACAAGAAACAGCAAAAGUGAGUAAAUCCAUCCAUCCAUCCAGCCAGCCAGCCAGCCAGCCACCCACCCACCCAGCCACCCACCCACAAUCAGUCAGGUCAGUGGGAUGGCUCAGACAUUAAAGGUGCUAGCCACCAAGACUGCUGGCCUGAACUAAGUCGGUGAGACACACAGUAAGAGAGAACAGACUACGUCCAGAUGUGUGCAAACACACAUGCGCGCACACACAUGUACAUCAGGUCGGAUUUUCAAGAUCCAAGUGCAUAAAUAGACACUAGCACACAGAACAUGUGCAAAAGGAAUGUAAGCAAAUUGAUACAGCAGAGUAUUUGACGGCAUAUGUUCCUAGAGCACUUCCCUGUGAGCCGGUUGACACAUUAUUACACACUGUUACACCUUUAUUAAGGCAGGUAUUCCGAGACCUGCCUGGGGCCGAUUCCCUUUAAACCAGGCUCCUUAGUAUUUAUGCAUUUAAAAUAUAGAAGGGCUUUGUGUGUGCAUGUGUGUGCCCUGCCCGCUGUGUAUGAGUGUGUGUGUGUGUGUGUGUGUGUGUGUGUGUGUCUGUAAAACGUUUAGUAAAUACUUGAAAGUUCACCACAUCCUUUUGUUCAAUUCAAAUUAACCUUCCCGGUUAAUUAAAAUAUUUUACCUCAUGGGGACUGAAUCCUGUGCAUUUCCAAAAUGACAUUUCCCAUUUGUUUACCUUGCAAUGUUAGAUUGGUAAUGACUAGCGAUUAGGAGAAUCCGCCUGCCUUCCUUGCUUGUAGUUCCUGGGGCCUCUGGGUUCUGUCCCCUGCAGUGGCAUGACCAUUGACUGGGAUGGAGGCUCCUCAGAGGACCCUCAGGUUAUUAACUGAGCUGCAUGGAGGAGCUCCAUUGGCUUCACGCUUGGAUGGUGGUAAUGAGCUCUGAGGCCCCUGCUUGUUCUUUUAGAGCUCCAGGGAAUCGAGUGGCCUGGAAGGAGCUAUGAGGGAAGCGGGUGUCUGCCGCCCCACCCAGCCCCCUCCCAGCACAUGUCUCUUGGCCAUUGGACCUGAGGGUGUGGCUCUCCACUGUGGAGGGAGAUUGGGAAACAGAUGCCUCUUCCUGCUUCAGAUGUAACUUUUCCUGUGCCAAGCUUAUUUUUCUUAGGGGUUGGGGAUUCCUUUGAAGCUCCACUCAGCAUUAUUAAUUCAGAAGUAGGGUGGGUGUUGGUGGCAUUUGUGAGGCUCGUCUGGGCAUUUGCCUUCCUUGGUGGAAGAAAGGGCUCUUCGACCUCCAACUAGCAAGGUCACAACCUGAAGCCUUUGUCAUCCACAAAUCUGAAACAUUAUUGGUUCUCUCUGGUAUGGGUAGUGACUACCAAACGUAUUUAUUUAUGAGAUUUCUGCCAGGGCCUUCUUUCUCCAGCUUAAAGGACACCAUCAGCAACGUCCUGCUAUUCUGAUCUGAGAAAGCGUGGGGAUUGCAGAGCCUUAUGGAAAGGGAGAGACCCCUGCCUGUACCAACUUUAGAGUUUCUGGAGCUCUCUCUCUCCUAGUCCCCUAUUCACAGCCAGAAUGUGUCUGCCUCCCUUAAACCCUGGGCUCCAGCCGCCUCCCUCAUUUACCUUUGGUGAGUGCAUCCAGAAGACCACAAGUGUGAUUGCAGGCUCAGCCUCAGUUAUCUCCUGCUCCCAGGGCAGCCCUCAUGCUUGGGUUUAUAGUCUGCACAGAAUGCAAGAAAGGCAAGUGUGUAUUCAUCCAUCCCACUUGUGGGCAAGGCAGGCCGCUACUCCUGGGGAGCUGGUCUCUCCUGUGCAUAAUAGACCCCCCAGAAGCGUGCCGCCCUGGCUGAGACUCUAGUGUGCCAUUAUCUCCUCCCUUCCAGGGUGUGGAGGGAGGCGACUGGCCACCUGUUUCCCUUGGCAGCUGGGCUAAGGCCAAGGCUUUGCAAGUGAUCCACGCCCCGCCCGCCUGCAUUUCUGCAAAUGUUCACUGUUCAGAUGACAGAUGGUGAGCCCACCCCCAGCUGCCCUCAUAGUCCCCUUCCUUCCUCCUCCUUCUCAGGGUUCAUCCCACCCCUACCCUGGUCAGCUUUCUCACUGACUCCUCCCUCCACAUGGGAAGUGACUCUGCAUGUUCUUUAAGGCCACUGCUGAAGCUUCCCUUGACCCCACCUCCUCUUUCUAAUCACAGACCCAUCUCCCUCUUAAUUAACACUUAAGUUCUUUGAAAGACAGUGCAGCCUUGGCCUGACCUCUGUUUUGAAGGGGAGGACACCUCUUUGGAAGAAAGUCAAAUAUAGCUGGUCCCAGCCCACUCCUCUCUUCCCUAGGCAGGGAGCAGAUUUCCUGGUGUUCUAACUCCCAGAAUGGUUGGGGUGAGAAUCACCAACAUGUGGGAGGUGAGGCGAAGGGCACGGGGGAGAGUUAAUUCUUCCGUCUGCUGUUUUCAUGGGUGCUGCUCAGUUCCUAUUGCACUCAUAUCCCUGAAAGGCAAAGGCGGGGUCACCCAGAGAGGCUGUCUGCAUCUGCUCAAGGCAAGUGCUGACAUUGCAUUCCUUUGCAGAGGUUUGAGGCCAUUGUGCAAGGUUAUGUUGAGGCAAAUAACCUGUUGGCCAUCCCUGGCCAACAGCAGUGGGCCUUCAGGUGUUUUCUCAAGUUUGUAAAGGAACUUUACAACUUUGAGAUGGUGUCUGUGGAGGCAAGAGAACCAGGAGUUCAAGGCCACCCUCCCUUACAUAGUGCCUUUGGGUCAGCCCUGCUGAGGCUUUGCCUGGGCGGCUGGUUCUGUUUCCUCAGUGGAAUCAUGAAGCCACAAUGCCCACAGCUAAGGGACAGCCAGGCUUGCAGGCAAAGAAAGCCUCGUUUGUUACAGUUGUCAGAAAGCUCCUGUUGUGUUCUCUAUGCUUUGAAAACUUUUGUGGAUAAAUUCUCUCCUCGAAUGACUGUCAUUAUAUUUUCCGAGUAUAUAGAUAAUCAAAACAUGCCUAGGAAAGACGGUGUAGCUGUUCAGAGUGUGAGCUGUACUUUCAGAGGACCUGGGGUCCCUUCCCCUCACAGGGCCUCACAUUGGCAGCUCAGAACCACUGGCGAGUAUAGUUUCAUAGAAUCUGACACCCUCCUCUGACCUCCUCAGAGACUGCAUGCACAUUGUAUGCAUGUGCACACACAGCACACAUGCACACAUACACACACACACACACACACACGCUUAUACACACUACACACACAUACACACACACAUAGACACACCACACACAUAGACACACACAAUACAAUACACACACACACACACACACACACACACACACACACACACACUUUUGCCUGGAGCCUGAGUUGGGUGGUAAGCCUCUUUUUUGCUUUUGUAUCAUGUAGCUCAGUCUUAGAGACCCUUUGUGGACUCUCGGUGCCUGUUUCAGGCCCAGGAGGGACUCCUGAGAAAGAUAACCCUUCCCUCUGUUUUGUUUAGCAGCCAGUUAGCAAGAUGUUAGCAUCCUAAUGAAAUUAGAAGCCACGGAGCCAUAAAAUAAGGUGUUUCCAUGGAGAAGCAGAACACUUGUAUCAGAGACAGUCAGAAUGGAGGGCACUCUGUUGGUCUCCUUAGCCUCCAGCCAGUGGUGAUGAGAAGAUCACAUUAUAAUUAGAAUAGGUGACUGCUGUCAAGGCUUUCAUUGUCCUGGGUGAGGUGUAGGAACUGACCCAUUGAGGCGUGUGGCUGGGCUACCUUAAUUGUGACAAGUCCCCCCUACACAUACAUACACAAUAUAUAGCCAACUUUGAUGCCAGAGGCACGGGACCAUGCUGUCCAUGGCGCUGUGGCCAAAUGCCAAAGUGCCACCUGACAAGUGGGUCACACCAGCAGGCUGUGCGUGCAGUGUUCACGAAGGUUUAUUUUCCAGCUUGUCUCCAGCUUCCUCCUUUUCGUCCAGUUUGUUUUCUCUGACAUGAUGUUCUCCUGUGUCUUCUCAGUCACAAAGUGAGGUUUACUUAUGGGAGGAAAGGAGAGGAAGGAGCCGUGUUCCGAGGAGGGUCGGUAAGGGGAUGCGCAGGCCUUGACGCACCAGGCUUUGGGGGAGGCGUUGGGCUUUGACCCCCCAGAAAAUUGUAGCAGAGGAGGCGAGGUGGAGAGUGGGGGGGGGGCACAAAAGCCGUUCACUAGGAAUCUUUUUUUUUUUUUUUUUGGUUCUUUUUUUUCGGAGCUGGGGACCGAACCCAGGGCCUUGCGCUUCCUAGGCAAGCGCUCUACCACUGAGCUAAAUCCCCAACCCCCACUAGGAAUCUUUAAGAUCAGCUCUCUCUUUUUUUUGAAGUCAGAACAUUGAACAAUUUCUCCAACUUUAACAUGCAUAGGAAUUUCAUGAGAUUUUGUCAAAUUCAGAGCCAGGAAUCUUUAAGUGGGGCCCCAGAUGGUGUGAUUUUGGCUCCUUAAUUGUGAGGGUCACAACUUUUUAGGUGCCCCCCCCCCACAAGGAUUUUGUUGUUUGCUUUCACUUUUUUUAAGGCAAUAGGAGGAGUAAAAAUAUUUAGGUUAAGAAACUUGAAGGGCUGCUGCUCCAGUCAUAAAAGGGCCUGGUGGCUCUCACCUUCCAGUUGUCAGGAUAGCAGAACCCCUGUGUGUCCAUGGUAACCGAUGGAUCGAUGAAGUUCUCGUCAAUCCGUAAAUCUCUGUGGUGGGAUUUUCGGGGACAGAGAAAGGAGGUGCUGAGAAUCAGGGAGAGUUGGUAUUUCUCCCUAGUUUUGAAUAAGGUCAGAUUUCUACUUUCUUACUGGAGCUUCCUGCAGAAAUGAAUUGUUUGUUCACUUGUCAUGCUGAUGGAUUUUCACCACCACGGGUCUGGUGGAUCUGGCGAGUCUGGACCAGGGUAAACAGGUCUGGAGCACAGCUUGAAGUGUGAAUGAGAUAUUUGCAUAGAUUACCUUCAGAAGCCAACUCCACCCACUCCAUCGGUAUAGACAACCCUAGACCUGUCAGGGAAUCCCUUCUACAACCAUCUAAAGACAUUUAAACAGCAUCAACACUGUUUUAGAAAGCAUUUGUUGUGACAUAUUUUUGCCUCCUGAAGUGAACUGAAGUUUCCUUUCUAGAAAUAGGAACUAAAGCCAAGUCUUGGACCUACUUGGGUGGCAAAACCAUUUCAGGCUGAUCAAGGUCAGAAAAAGGGUUUGAUUAUGAAGAGGAGGUGGUGGGCUUACUUUUCUUAGGUUACUGAGAGAGAUAAACUCUGAAUGCUGUUAUUGUUGGGGGCGGGGAGCAGGGUCUCUAGACCAGGCAGGUUUUGACCUCCCUGUGUAGUGGGGGGGGAUAACCUUGAGCUUCUGGUCCUCCUGUCUCCCUCUCCCAAGCACUGGGAUGUAGGCAUGCACUUGUGCACCUGGUUUCGGGCCUGGCCGUGCGGUGCUAGAGAAUGAACCCCGUAAGCUAGGCAAGCAAGCUACCGACUGGGCCGUGUCCCCAGCAUCCUGAACAUUGCCAUUAAGGUCCCAACGAUAUGGGAACUAACAGGUCAGCAGCAUAGACAGCUUUUCCUUUCAUGUUUUCCAUCCACGCUUGGCGGGACACACGGGAGAUGAACCAGAGCUUCCCAAAGGUUUUGGCCAUCAGCAAGAAUACGAGGACAGUAAUACAAAAGUCUAGAGAAGCCAUCGGCAGAAGAAGUCUGCAGUUCGAGGGACUCAGACUUGGAAGAUUGCUGGUAUUUUACUGAAAGUCUUCUGGGGGUGUUUCUGAGUGCUUUUUCUCUCCCAGUAGAUAGAGGCAGAUGCUGCCAGAUCUGUGAGGAUGGAAGGACUCAGUUCAGUUGUCUCCUCCUGCAAAUGAAGCUGUUAAACCAGGGAAAAGACUGGUUGGUCGUUAAUGUAUGUGUCUUAAAAAGCAGGAUCAAAGUGCCGGAGAAGCAGCUCAGCUGUCCCGGUAGAGGACCUGGUUCUGCUCCCAGCACGGGUAACUUCAAUUCCAGGAUCCCAUGCCCUCCGUCCUUUGAGGAUACCAGACAUACACCUGGUACACAUACAUACUCUUAGGCACAUACACAAACAUAAAAUACGUAAACGGAUCUUUAAAAAAAAAAGCAUUGCUUAUUACCUUUUCCCUUGUUCUGGCUGUUUUUAUUAAAUGCUUUUAAUAAAACAAACCAAACAAAACCCCACAGCCACAGCGUGUUCCAAGACGCGGUCCCGAUGUCCCAGUAACUUCAGCUCCAGCUCUGGCCUCAUUGCUGGGCCGUGGAGGGAGUCAUAGUCUUACCCUGACACGAUGAGACAAGGUCCCUGGGGGAAGCUGGCAGGGGACCCAUGCUGAAAAUGGCCCUGGUUGUGGAUAGGUGGGCGCUGGUAGACCGAGGGCUUUCAUGACAAGAGCCUGGACAGUGGCUUCAGGAUAAAGAGAAGCCAAGAAAGGCAUCUUGAUAGACACACUUAGCUUGGGAUGAGGCGGAGGGUGGAGUUAGUUGACCACAGCUUGAGGUCAGGUGUGCUGUGGGACUGUCAUCCAAGUCUGGGGGCGUAAGAGCAGCAAGGCCAGUAGGGGGGAUGCCGUGCCAGCAGGAUCUGAUCUGGCCGCUGCACUGGUACCGGGGGCUUCUGCACGCCUGGCCAGGUCCGUGCUCUUCAGGUCUGGCAGAGCCCUGGGAUGAAAACAGCUUUCUGUGUUUGCUGACUCUGGAGAGGAAAGGACAUUUUGUGUCAGUGGAGAGACAGUCUGGUCAAGGGAGUAACCUUUGGUCUUAGCUGUCCUCAGGGACACCAAGCCUGCCUGGAAUCUAGGUCUGGAAGACCUUCUGUGGCUCCCCUCGAAGCUUACUUCUUGCCUUUGACCUCAGUUCGGGGUGCAUGCGCAUGCAUGUGUGUUUUAGAAGCAAGGGUAAGACCUUGGAGCGUGGGCUGGGGUUAUGGCUUCGGCUGAUGAAAUGUUUACACUCUACCCUUAGUCAUUAUUUUGUUUUUUCUUACUCAACUGUACUUUUGGCUCUAGGCAUGGGUUAGGAGCUUAGCUUCAGUGGUUCUGCUUGAUUCGGGAGCACGUUGGUGGGCAGCUGAGUGUUACAACACACCAAGCGAGUGUUCUAGAACACCAGAGCCAGAGGUUCCCAGGAUUAUGAAAGAAGCGAGAGGUGGGAAUUGGCACUUGUUUCUGGCUCGGAGAGCUGACAGUCACGUCUCCUGCACUACCCUUUUCUAUUGGAUCUCAUGCUUGGUAUGCAUCACCUUAUGUCCUUUCUACACCUUGUAACCAGGAACUGCGAGGGCUGAGGCCACCUGACUACCUGGAGUCACAUAGCAAGGACGCUGUGUUCUUGCUGGGCCUGGGUCCAGAGUGUUCCAAAGCCUGUGUGUGUUCUUGGUACAGCACUGGUUCCAUUCCAAGUGCCUGUGGGUGCCCUGGGUCUUGUUAAAACUCCAUAAGGCAGAGGUUUGGGGGCUCAUUCCUGCCUUGCUGGGGCCCCGUUUCCCUGACAUGCGGGGUUUGUUCCAUCUGAUAGAUGGUUCUCUCUCUCCAGGUUCCCCAAUCCAAGGGCAUCCUUGUUGUAUAGCUCACCCUGUCCUUCCUCAGAGUUGCUGUGAGGAGAAGAUGGAUGAGGCUGAGAAAACAUCAGUGGCUUCUCCUCUGAUCCUCUCUGACAUCAUCCUCUCUCCUCUCCCUGCCCUUCCUUCUCCUGAAGGGAUUCCAAUUCUUUCCCUAUUUCUGCACCAACACCACCUCAAUUUAGUUCCCACAUGGUUGGCAGCAGGAGGAACAGGCCAGGCCCAAAGUAAUCUCUCGAUGACUCUGCUGACAGAUGGCUUAUCAAGAGGACAGCGGCCCUCAUUUAAGGCCACCACCUCAGGUCAGUUAGAUUGGAGUCUGCAGGGCCCACAGCCCUUUUGGAACGAAGGCUCAUACAGGUCACUUCUGACAGUGACCUCUCUGGGGAGGUGGGAGGUGGCUUCCUGCCCCCACUAUUAUUUCUGGGACAAUUAUCAAUGUGUGUGAGAAGUCUGGAACCUUUUAAAGAGAGGACUCUUAUUCCAGGACACAGAUGAAGCCCUGAGGCAGAACUGACUGAGCGGGGCCUGGCCCACGUAGCUUGGCCUUCCCUUCUGUCUAUCCUUACUGACUCCCUACCCUGAAGGGUGAGUCAGCAGCUCCUGGGCAGUAGGCUCUGCUUAGGACUUCGUGAUGCAUGUAACGUGCAUUUAAAGGAUCACAAUUAGAGCAAUGAGUACUAAUUAAUAAGGUGAUUUCAUAUGGGAAGACCCCCUGCUCCUCUGGGGUUCAAGGGAGGCUUUGCUUGUGGUGUCUAGGGGAACAAAACAACAAUUUGCUUUCUAGUCAGGUGAAGAUAGGGCCAUGUGUUGACUACCUGCCCAGUCAGCCUCCCACAGGCCCGGAAGCUACUCACUUGGGGGCGCUCACAUGCCUCUAUGAUUGGUGACUUGGAUGAGAGGCAUCUGCUAGAGCCGCAGCCACAGUGGAUGGUCACGUCUUAGGCUACAGUGUUAGAUAUCCAUGGAGCUCAGUAUCCUGCUCUGUAAUUUCAUAGCUGUGAGCUGUAAAUGACUUAGUCUUGAGUCACGGUUCUGUUUAUAUGUAAUGUAAGCACACCAGUGCUUAUUCACGCGGUCCUUAGAAGAAUGAGAGGAAUAGCCAUGCAUGCAGUUCUGCAGCCUGCUCACUGUUGCAUGCAUGGCCUCAGGAUGUGUAUAGAAAAGGGUUGUUGGUUGGGUUGUCAUUGUGUGAGCAUUAGGGUGUACUUACACAAAAUAAGGUGGCUAUGGUGUUCCUAGGUGGCAACAUUUUAUGAGAUCACCAUCCUGUCAUUGACCUAAUUAUCACCCCGAGGCCCAGGAUUGUAUAUGUGAGCUUGAUUUAUUAGCUCAUUUCCUUCCUCGCCCCACGACCCUCUUGAGGAAUAAAACAAGAAGACCCCUUCCAUUCCCACCAAGACACAUAGAAACCAUAGAAAAGUACUGAACUAUAUACUUUUUCACACACACACACACACACACACACACACACACACACACACACACACACCCUACAUACAUACAUACCUA